UAAGGAAUAUUGGUCAAUGGACGAAAGUCUGAACCAGCCAUCCCGCGUGCAGGAUGACUGCCCUAUGGGUUGUAAACUGCUUUUAGUAGAGAAGAAACGCAGUCAUGUAUGAUUGCCUGACGGUACCUACAGAAUAAGCACCGGCUAACUCCGUGCCAGCAGCCGCGGUAAUACGGAGGGUGCGAGCGUUAUCCGGAAUCACUGGGUUUAAAGGGUGCGUAGGCGGGGAAUUAAGUCAGUGGUGAAAUCUUGUCGCUUAACGAUAAAAUUGCCAUUGAUACUGAUUUUCUUGAAUUGGGUUGAGGUUAGCGGAAUGUGACAUGUAGCGGUGAAAUGCAUAGAUAUGUCAUGGAACACCAAUUGCGAAGGCAGCUAGCUGGGCCUUGAUUGACGCUGAGGCACGAAAGCGUGGGUAGCGAACAGGA
This 425-nucleotide ribosomal RNA is filed under the name uncultured Portibacter sp. Its description in RNAcentral is "bacterial SSU rRNA". It matches the Rfam family "Bacterial small subunit ribosomal RNA", at positions 355 to 777 of the family's 1533-position model. The record is from RNAcentral. Lineage: Bacteria; Pseudomonadati; Bacteroidota; Saprospiria; Saprospirales; Haliscomenobacteraceae.